Molecule: ribosomal RNA, 466 nt
Filed under: uncultured bacterium
Lineage: Bacteria
Description: bacterial SSU rRNA
Rfam family: Bacterial small subunit ribosomal RNA
Source: RNAcentral
ACGCUGGCGGCGUGCUUAACACAUGCAAGUCGAACGAUGAAAGCGGGAGCUUGCUCCUGCUGGAUUAGUGGCGAACGGGUGAGUAACACGUGAGCAAUCUGCCCCGAACUCUGGGAUAAGCGUUGGAAACGACGUCUAAUACCGGAUACGACGCGCGAAGGCAUCUUCUGCGCGUGGAAAGAAUUUCGGUUCGGGAUGAGCUCGCGGCCUAUCAGCUAGUUGGUGAGGUAAUGGGCUCACCAAGGCGACGACGGGUAGCCGGCCUGAGAGGGUGACCGGCCACACUGGGACUGAGACACGGCCCAGACUCCUACGGGAGGCAGCAGUGGGGAAUAUUGCACAAUGGGCGCAAGCCUGAUGCAGCAACGCCGCGUGAGGGACGACGGCCUUCGGGUUGUAAACCUCUUUUAGUAGGGAAGAAGCGAAAGUGACGGUACCUGCAGAAAAAGCACCGGCUAACUACGUG